Long non-coding RNA from Symsagittifera roscoffensis, 459 nucleotides. RefSeq lists it as uncharacterized. Lineage: Eukaryota; Metazoa; Xenacoelomorpha; Acoela; Convolutidae. The transcript is spliced from 4 exons. The record is from RefSeq and is a predicted model, not a curated record.
GUUUUGAUAAUAUUUAUUCUGCUCAAAUAGUCAAACUUAUAAUGAACCUUGAGACUUUGUUACAAUGAACCGGUGGUCCGCUCUUCUCGCACUAAUUUGGAUCAUUUUUGUCAAAAACGCAACUAGAGCAGAAAUUAGAGAAUCUUUGGACUUUGUGUUUUCUUACGACGAUGAUGAUCUGGGAAAGCAGUGCAGAAAAUAUAGUUAUUAUUUUUGCCUGAUGGGUUUUCGAUCUACAACAAAGUAUAGCAAUCGGUUGCCGCAACAAAAUGACACUGAAGAAUUUUACAAAAUCGUCAACCGCUACAACCAUGAGAUCAAUUGGUACUCUUUUAGAGAUGAGGACAAGGAAAACAAUGGCUGUUGCUCCUACCAGGUCAACCAAUACUUGAUUAAUGGUCAGAAAAACGGUCUCUCGCCAAUGGAAUUCAUUCACAAGAUGUUCCAUUUGAACGAACG